RNAcentral lists this ribosomal RNA (301 nucleotides) under uncultured bacterium. RNAcentral describes it as "partial 16S ribosomal RNA". It matches the Rfam family "Bacterial small subunit ribosomal RNA", at positions 509 to 807 of the family's 1533-position model. The record is from RNAcentral.
CAGCCGCCGCGGGAAUACAGAGGGUGCGAGCGUUAAUCGGAAUUACUGGGCGUAAAGCGCACGUAGGCGGAUAUUUAAGUCAGGGGUGAAAUCCCGCAGCUCAACUGCGGAACUGCCUUUGAUACUGGGUAUCUUGAGUAUGGAAGAGGUUAGUGGAAUUGCGAGUGUAGAGGUGAAAUUCGUAGAUAUUCGCAGGAACACCAGUGGCGAAGGCGGCUAACUGGUCCAUAACUGACGCUGAGGUGCGAAAGCGUGGGGAGCAAACAGGAUUAGAUACCCCGGUAGUCCCUGUCUCUUAUAC